RNAcentral lists this unclassified non-coding RNA (274 nucleotides) under Hevea brasiliensis (rubber tree). The record is from RNAcentral. Lineage: Eukaryota; Viridiplantae; Streptophyta; Magnoliopsida; Malpighiales; Euphorbiaceae.
AUUGCUUUGUGUUCAAAUUUCUCCACGCUUGUACGUACGGUUCUAGGGUUUGCUCGAUUCUUCCAGUUUUCUAUUUUUUCUUUCAGUGCAGGAGUAUCUAGUAUUCUAGUGAUGCCUUAGCAUGGAGAUGGAGUCACAGAUCUCCUUGGACUCUAAGGUAAAUUCUCGCAUUGAGAAUACUUCUAUUCAGCAUGGGAAUACUGGUGUAACAUCAUUGAUCCCAGAUCAUGUUGAGCCACAGCUGCCAGCAAAAAAACCAACGCGGCAAUGGGCU